CUGAGAAUUCCAAUUAGGGCUUCAAUUUUGCCAGAAGAGGAACGAUGGUCUGCGAGAAGUGUGAGAAGAAGUUAUCGAAGGUGAUUGUACCAGAUAAGUGGAAAGAAGGAGCCAGCAAUACCACCGAAGGUGGUGGUCGUAAGAUCAACGAGAACAAACUCCUCUCUAAGAAGAAAAGAUGGACUCCUUAUGGAAAUACCAAGUGCAUGAUUUGCAAGCAGCAGGUACACCAAGAUGCCAAAUACUGUCACACCUGUGCUUAUACCAAAGGGGUUUGUGCAAUGUGUGGUAAGCAAGUACUUGACACUAAGUUUUACAAACAAAGUAAUGUAUAAUUCAAAGCAGAUGCUAUUUGGCAUGUUGAAUUAGAUGUAAUGGUUUAUGGACUGUUUCAAGCUUAAUUGAUCACUAUCAUUUACUUACAAUAUGAAAUGGAGGCUGUAAAGAUCACCAACUUUUAUGUAAUGUACUGGUAUGCUUGGUGGGUUUCAUUCUUACUGGGUAAUGAAAUAUGGUAG
Molecule: unclassified non-coding RNA, 518 nt
Filed under: Hevea brasiliensis (rubber tree)
Lineage: Eukaryota; Viridiplantae; Streptophyta; Magnoliopsida; Malpighiales; Euphorbiaceae
Source: RNAcentral